RNAcentral lists this ribosomal RNA (465 nucleotides) under uncultured bacterium. Its description in RNAcentral is "partial 16S ribosomal RNA". It matches the Rfam family "Bacterial small subunit ribosomal RNA", at positions 338 to 795 of the family's 1533-position model. The record is from RNAcentral.
CCUACGGGAGGCAGCAGUGGGGAAUAUUGCGCAAUGGGCGAAAGCCUGACGCAGCGACGCCGCGUGAGGGAUGAAGGUCUUCUGAUCGUAAACCUCUGUCAGCAGGGAAGAACGGUCACUGUGCUAAUCAGUAGUGAAUUGACGGUACCUGCAAAGGAAGCACCGGCUAACUCCGUGCCAGCAGCUGCGGUAAUACGGCGGGUGCGAGCGUUAAUCGGAAUUACUGGGCGUAAAGCGCUCGUAGGCGGUAUGUCAAAUCAAGGGUGAAAGCCCCGCGCUCAAGGUGGGGACUGCCUUUGAAACUGGCAAGCUGGAGUGUGUGAGAGGAUAGUGGAAUUCGAGGUGUAGGAGUGAAAUCCGUAGAUAUCUGGAGGAACAUCAGUGGCGAGGGCGACUAUCUGGCACAUAACUGACGCUGAGGAGCGAAAGCGUGGGUAGCAAACAGGAUUAGAUACCCGUGUAGUC